Molecule: ribosomal RNA, 460 nt
Filed under: uncultured bacterium
Lineage: Bacteria
Description: partial 16S ribosomal RNA
Rfam family: Bacterial small subunit ribosomal RNA
Source: RNAcentral
CCUACGGGUGGCAGCAGUGAGGAAUAUUGGUCAAUGGACGAGAGUCUGAACCAGCCAAGUAGCGUGAAGGAUGACUGCCCUAUGGGUUGUAAACUUCUUUUAUAUGGGAAUAAAAUGUUCAACGUGUGGGAGUUUGUAUGUACCAUAUGAAUAAGGAUCGGCUAACUCCGUGCCAGCAGCCGCGGUAAUACGGAGGAUCCGAGCGUUAUCCGGAUUUAUUGGGUUUAAAGGGAGCGUAGGUGGAUUGUUAAGUCAGUUGUGAAAGUUUGCGGCUCAACCGUAGAAUUGCAGUUGAAACUGGCAGUCUUGAGUACAGUAGAGGUAGGCGGAAUUCGUGGUGUAGCGGUGAAAUGCUUAGAUAUCACGAAGAACUCCGAUUGCGAAGGCAGCUCACUGGACUGCAACUGACACUGAGGCUCGAAAGUGUGGGUAUCAAACAGGAUUAGAUACCCUUGUAGUC